AAAUUGAAGAGUUUGAUCAUGGCUCAGAUUGAACGCUGGCGGCAGGCCUAACACAUGCAAGUCGAACGGUAACAGGAAGCAGCUUGCUGCUUUGCUGACGAGUGGCGGACGGGUGAGUAAUGUCUGGGAAACUGCCUGAUGGAGGGGGAUAACUACUGGAAACGGUGGCUAAUACCGCAUAACGUCGCAAGACCAAAGAGGGGGACCUUCGGGCCUCUUGCCAUCAGAUGUGCCCAGAUGGGAUUAGCUAGUUGGUGAGGUAACGGCUCACCAAGGCGACGAUCCCUAGCUGGUCUGAGAGGAUGACCAGCCACACUGGAACUGAGACACGGUCCAGACUCCUACGGGAGGCAGCAGUGGGGAAUAUUGCACAAUGGGCGCAAGCCUGAUGCAGCCAUGCCGCGUGUAUGAAGAAGGCCUUCGGGUUGUAAAGUACUUUCAGCGGGGAGGAAGGUGUUGUGGUUAAUAACCGCAGCAAUUGACGUUACCCGCAGAAGAAGCACCGGCUAACUCCGUGCCAGCAGCCGCGGUAAUACGGAGGGUGCAAGCGUUAAUCGGAAUUACUGGGCGUAAAGCGCACGCAGGCGGUCUGUCAAGUCGGAUGUGAAAUCCCCGGGCUCAACCUGGGAACUGCAUUCGAAACUGGCAGGCUUGAGUCUUGUAGAGGGGGGUAGAAUUCCAGGUGUAGCGGUGAAAUGCGUAGAGAUCUGGAGGAAUACCGGUGGCGAAGGCGGCCCCCUGGACAAAGACUGACGCUCAGGUGCGAAAGCGUGGGGAGCAAACAGGAUUAGAUACCCUGGUAGUCCACGCCGUAAACGAUGUCUACUUGGAGGUUGUGCCCUUGAGGCGUGGCUUCCGGAGCUAACGCGUUAAGUAGACCGCCUGGGGAGUACGGCCGCAAGGUUAAAACUCAAAUGAAUUGACGGGGGCCCGCACAAGCGGUGGAGCAUGUGGUUUAAUUCGAUGCAACGCGAAGAACCUUACCUGGUCUUGACAUCCACAGAACUUUCCAGAGAUGGACUGGUGCCUUCGGGAACUGUGAGACAGGUGCUGCAUGGCUGUCGUCAGCUCGUGUUGUGAAAUGUUGGGUUAAGUCCCGCAACGAGCGCAACCCUUAUCCUUUGUUGCCAGCGGUCCGGCCGGGAACUCAAAGGAGACUGCCAGUGAUAAACUGGAGGAAGGUGGGGAUGACGUCAAGUCAUCAUGGCCCUUACGACCAGGGCUACACACGUGCUACAAUGGCGCAUACAAAGAGAAGCGACCUCGCGAGAGCAAGCGGACCUCAUAAAGUGCGUCGUAGUCCGGAUUGGAGUCUGCAACUCGACUCCAUGAAGUCGGAAUCGCUAGUAAUCGUGGAUCAGAAUGCCACGGUGAAUACGUUCCCGGGCCUUGUACACACCGCCCGUCACACCAUGGGAGUGGGUUGCAAAAGAAGUAGGUAGCUUAACCUUCGGGAGGGCGCUUACCACUUUGUGAUUCAUGACUGGGGUGAAGUCGUAACAAGGUAACCGUAGGGGAACCUGCGGUUGGAUCACCUCCUUA
This 1542-nucleotide ribosomal RNA is filed under the name Salmonella enterica. RNAcentral describes it as "16S ribosomal RNA". It matches the Rfam family "Bacterial small subunit ribosomal RNA". Lineage: Bacteria; Pseudomonadati; Pseudomonadota; Gammaproteobacteria; Enterobacterales; Enterobacteriaceae. The record is from RNAcentral. RNAcentral also lists the same sequence under 1 other name.